RNAcentral lists this ribosomal RNA (465 nucleotides) under uncultured bacterium. RNAcentral's name for it is "partial 16S ribosomal RNA". It matches the Rfam family "Bacterial small subunit ribosomal RNA", at positions 338 to 795 of the family's 1533-position model. The record is from RNAcentral.
CCUACGGGAGGCAGCAGUGGGGAAUCUUGCGCAAUGCUCGUAAGAGUGACGCAGCGACGCCGCGUGAAUGACGAAGGCCUUCGGGUCGUAAAGUUCUUUCGACAGGGAAGAAAAUGCCUAUAAGUAACUGUGUAUGUAUUGACGGUACCUGUAUAAGCAGCCCCGGCUAACUCCGUGCCAGCAGCCGCGGUAAUACGGAGGGGGCGUGCGUUGUUCGGAGGGACUGGGCGUAAGGGGCACGGGGGCGGUGUUGUAAGUCAUUAGUCAAAGAGGAGAGCUCAACUUUAGUAAGGCUAGUGAUACUAUAAUACUAGAGUAUCAGAGAGGAAUGCAGAAUUCCUGGUGUAGCGGUGAAAUGCGUAGAUAUCAGGAGGAAUACCGUUAGCGAAGGCGGCAAUCUGGCUGGAAACUGACGCUGAGGUGCGAAAGCGUGGGUAGCAAACAGGAUUAGAUACCCUGGUAGUC